GAUGAAGAACGUAGCGAAAUGCGAUAAGUAAUGCGAAUUGCAGAAUUCAGUGAAUCAUCGAAUCUUUGAACGCACAUUGCGCCCGCCAGUAUUCUGGCGGGCAUGCCUGUCUGAGCGUCGUUUCGACCCUCGCGCCCGGCUUCUGUCGGGGGCGGUGUUGGGGAUCGGCCACACCCUUCAGUGGGAGGCCGGCCCCUAAAUUCAGUGGCGACCACGCUGUAACCUCCCCGGCGUAGUACUAAAACCACCUCGCAGGCGGAGAGCGGUGCGGCCCGCCGUAAAACCCCCCAACUUUUACAAGGUCGACCUCAGAUCAGGUAGGAAUACCCGCUGAACUUAAGCAUAUCAAUAAGCGGAGGA
RNAcentral lists this unclassified non-coding RNA (360 nucleotides) under soil metagenome. RNAcentral describes it as "partial contains 5.8S ribosomal RNA, internal transcribed spacer 2, and large subunit ribosomal RNA". The stretch from base 1 to 120 matches the Rfam family "5.8S ribosomal RNA", at positions 35 to 154 of the family's 154-position model. The record is from RNAcentral.